UACAGAGGGUGCGAGCGUUGUUCGGAAUUAUUGGGCGUAAAGGGCGCGCAGGCGGUCGUUCAAGUCGAGUGUGAAAGCCCCCGGCUCAACUGGGGAGGGUCACUCGAUACUGAUCGACUCGAAGGCAGGAGAGGGAAGCGGAAUUCCCGGUGUAGUGGUGAAAUGCGUAGAUAUCGGGAGGAACACCAGUGGCGAAGGCGGCUUUCUGGCCUGUUCUUGACGCUGAGGCGCGAAAGCUAGGGUAGCAAACGGG
This 253-nucleotide ribosomal RNA is filed under the name uncultured bacterium. RNAcentral's name for it is "partial 16S ribosomal RNA". It matches the Rfam family "Bacterial small subunit ribosomal RNA", at positions 524 to 776 of the family's 1533-position model. The record is from RNAcentral.